Molecule: small nuclear RNA, 127 nt
Filed under: Carlito syrichta (Philippine tarsier)
Lineage: Eukaryota; Metazoa; Chordata; Mammalia; Primates; Tarsiidae
Source: RNAcentral
GGUUCUGCCCUGGAGUUAGUUUGCUCUGGCUGCUGUAUCACAGGACCAAAAACCAACAAUACACAGAAGAUUAGCAUGGCCUCUGCACAAGGAUGACACGAAAAUUCACGAAACAUGUCAUAUUAAA